UGGGGAAUCUUGCGCAAUGGUCUAACGACUGACGCAGCGACGCCGCGUGUGGGAGGACGCCUUUCGGGGUGUAAACCUCUGUUGGGAGGGACGAAGAUCUGACGGUACCUCCUGAGGAAGCCCCGGCUAACUACGUGCCAGCAGCCGCGGUAAUACGUAGGGGGCAAGCGUUAUCCGGAUUUACUGGGCGUAAAGAGCGCGUAGGCGGUUCCGUAAGUUGGUUGUGAAAGUUCGAGGCUCAACCUCGAAACUGCGUCCAAUACUGCGGGGCUGGAGUGCAAGAGAGGCAAGUGGAAUUUGCGGUGUAGUAGUGAAAUGCGUAGAUAUCGCAAGGAACACCAGUGGCGAAGGCGGCUUGCUAGCUUGUAACUGACGCUGAGGCGCGAAAGCUAGGGGAGCGAAC
Molecule: ribosomal RNA, 403 nt
Filed under: uncultured bacterium
Lineage: Bacteria
Description: bacterial SSU rRNA
Rfam family: Bacterial small subunit ribosomal RNA
Source: RNAcentral